Long non-coding RNA from Hippocampus zosterae (dwarf seahorse), 659 nucleotides. RefSeq lists it as uncharacterized. The transcript has 3 exons. The record is from RefSeq and is a predicted model, not a curated record. Lineage: Eukaryota; Metazoa; Chordata; Actinopteri; Syngnathiformes; Syngnathidae.
AGUUUAAAAGGUCACCUUUGUGAAUUGAAUGCGUGCGUGUGUUUCUGUGUAGUGUAAACAGGUUAAGUUGGGUAAGGUGAAAGCCUCAUAUGAGGAGUUACUUGGAGUUAUUUGGAUGGCUUGGCCAAUGAAUAUUUCAUCAGAGUCGGAUGCCUCAGUAAACAGAACAGCGGCAACAGUUGAUGAUGUGAAGAAUAAUUCCCAGAACUCCUUGAGCUUACACAGUAGGCAGAUGCAGACGGAUGCAAAUGAAGAUGAAGCAUGCCAGCAGUGCAUGCAGCAAAAACAGUAGCAUAUCUGGCCAGGACUGUGAUGGCUGGCUGUGAUUGGGUAAGGAGGCGGAACCAGAUGACAUCACUCCACUCUGCUAUUACAACACAAAUCUACAAUCGUUGUUUGAGUGUAAUAUUUUAUGUAUGUGUAUUUAUUUGCAUAUACACUUUUAUGGGUGUGAUUUUUCUGGUAAAUCCUGGUGAAAUUAUUUCUAUUCAAGACUGUUUUGUGUGUUUGUUCGCGGAUCUGAAUUAAGUCUGAGCAGGGUUGCUUUCAUUGACUAUACAGUAUAUCAAAAUGCUUUUUCUGUAGUGUAAGAUGUUGUACGCACCAAAGAGCAGUAUUCUGCUAAUGAACUAAGAAGAAGAAGAAAGAAAAGGAGAAGA